UUUGGCUCUCUGGCUUGGUCAAGAGGGGAAGGAGACUACUAGGACAAUGGAUAGCUGAUUAGCUGGAGCUAAGAAAUUAGUGGUGAUUAAGAAGAGACCUGCAUCACUGCGGUGAAAUCUUCUGGAAAGUGUUUUCUGAGAGCACAAAGAAGCUGUGUUCCAGUGAUAGCCAAGGUUGUACCUCGUGCUGCAGCUGUACUCGAUAAUGUCUAAGAGUCAUCCAGGUGGUACUGGUUUUAAAGGCAUGAAGAGGUCAUGAAGAGCAGCUGAGGCUUGGCAUUGUGAGAAGCCAUGGAAGAUCUGUUGGUGAAGGUGCAGCCUCAGUUGCAGUUGACAGCCCAGGACUGAAGGGGUCAUGCAAAGAAGUUGAGGCUUAGCACUGUGAAGAGAGCCUAUGAGAGCUAUUGGUGAAGCCUAGCAGUGGAAGACUCCAGUGUAUUGUAGAUGCCAGUACAAUGGGAUGAUCACCAAGAACAGCAUCAGCAGUGGAGUGGAUCAACCUGAGCUUAGAGUGCUACAGAGUACAGAGCUGGAGAAGUGGUAUCAGUCCUUUGGAGGAGCCCAAAAGAUCAUGUGUGGGUCCCAGACAUUGAAACAAGAAGCUGUAACAUUAAAAUUGCCUUGGAGAUCCCAAGAUGGUCGAGAUGCUAGAGCCACGGGCUGCUAACAAGGGGGUGGAACCAGCCCAGGAGAAAAAAGUUUGUUGCAGUCAACAAGGAUAAAAAAGGAGUUGGAGAUCUGAAGACCACUUUGACAUCAGUUGUGGAGAUGCAGAGUUUUGACUUUGUCAAGCUGACUUCCUGUCUUGCUUUGAGGAUUAUAGUUAAGUGAUUGGAUGAACUUUGGACUUUUAACAUUGUUGAGACUGCUAUAGAUUAUGAGGGCUUUUGAAGCUGGACUAAAUGUAUUUUUUAUUAUGCUAUGGAUAGGUAUGGCCCCCAUAGACUCAUUGCUGAAACAAGCCUAUGGGGGCCAGGAGUGGAAUGUGAUAGUUUGUAUAUGCUUGGCCCAGGGAGUGGCACUAUUAGGAAAUGUAGCCUUGUUGAUUAGGUGUAUCACUGUGGAUGUGGGCUUUAAUACCCUUGCCUUAGCUGCUUAGAAGUCAGUAUUCUGCUAGCAGCCUUUAGAUGAAGGUGUAGAACUCUCAGCUCCUCUUGCACCAUGCCUGCCUGGAUGCUGCCAUGUUCCUGCCUUGAUGAUAAUGGACUGAACCUCUGAACCUGUAAGCUAGCCCCAAUUAACUGUUGGCCUUAUAAGACUUGCCUUGGUCAUGGUGUCUAUGCACAGCAGUAAAACCCUAACUAAGGCACUUACAAACAGAUGUGGGGAGGCAGGGGAUGGGGCAGAGAGGGAGAGAAGGGAAGAGAGGGAGAGAGGGAAAGAGAAUAUCUUUGGAAUAUUGUAUGUAUUCACUGUUUUGAUUAUGCUGAUUUCCUUGGCAUUUACUUAAGUCAGAAUUUAUCAAAUAUCUACUUUACUGAUCUACAAAUUCUUGUAUUUUUGUUGUCCUUUAACAAAUCUAUUUUAAAAUAUUCAUAGAUAUAAACAAGUUACUGAGAGUUGCUACAAUCAUUUCCACCUUUUAACUUUUGUGGAAGGCUCAUUCAUUAGGCUAGAUACAGAGCCUGCCUUCCUGCAGAUGUGCUGAAAGAAGAGGGCAUCAGAGACAGAGGCCAAGAUGCAGGUCACUCUGUACAUGGUGGAACUCUAACACAUUAUCUUCUGUGUAUCUAUGAGGCAGAUACUGUCAUCAUAGCCAUUUCAUUGCUAAGAAAAUUUCAGGCCAAUAAGAGUUGGUGUUUGAAGAAGCCAAUGACCAACACCCCCUACUCUGUGACUUCUAACCUUUGACACCGGAAUCAGACAGAUGGUGAUGAAAAUGUCAGCUGGUUAUGAAUAAAAGCUUUUUGAAGGGC
Molecule: long non-coding RNA, 1916 nt
Filed under: Mus musculus (house mouse)
Lineage: Eukaryota; Metazoa; Chordata; Mammalia; Rodentia; Muridae
Description: long non-coding RNA chr1:153714653-153716569
Source: RNAcentral